Molecule: long non-coding RNA, 805 nt
Organism: Gossypium raimondii (Peruvian cotton)
Lineage: Eukaryota; Viridiplantae; Streptophyta; Magnoliopsida; Malvales; Malvaceae
Exons: 4
Source: RefSeq, a predicted model, not a curated record
CUAUUUCUGCCCUUAUCUGUGAAAAUUUCCUUCAAUUGCUUCGUAGUGCUUCAUUUUCUCAAUUGUUCCCUAUGUCCAUCAUUCCUCUCAUCUCCUUCUGAUGCUACCAGACUCCUCACAUCUUCCUCUAGUGCUAACAUGGCUUUCCUCGGUAGCUAGUGUCUCAAUUCUUUCUAUGACUACCCAUUGGAGUCAUAUUUCUAACCUCGUCUGAACUGCCUGUAGACAGGCUAUUGCCUCUACCGCGAAAAGUUUUAUUUUGGUUAUACUCUCGUCCGAUGGUUUCCAACAUUCAUUGUUAUUAAUCCUCCUUGGUAUGUUGUUCUUUACUACUGACCAUUCCUCUAUAUAUUUCCUUAUAAAGCAUAUUGUCUCUGUGGCUGAUUGUUGUAUUUUUUCAUGCAACACUCUAUUUCGUCCCAUCCAAACCGUUCAUAUGGUGGCAAAUAAAAGUUGUUUCUGUUAGCCACUACUUCUAUCCCUAAAUGUAUGCUCCAAAGUCUCUGUUCCCUCCCUACAUCUUGGACACAGAGCCGAGUUACUGAUUCUUCUGUUGUAUAGGUUUCCAAAUUUGUAGAAAUAUAAUUGUUGUAUAUUCUCCACUUUGUAGUUUUAAUUUUGAUAUACAGAUUUUUAUGCCAAAGGUUGUUGUAAUAAUCUCUAUUUGUGUAGUUAUUGUUAGCCAUUUUUGGGUUUGUAUUUCUCAUCAAUAAGUCUAUAACCGCUCUUUAUUGUGUAUUCCCCCGUAAGUUCUCCACUCCAAACCCUUCUGUCCUCCUGUGAGUCUUUUGCAAGAGGAAUAUCC